ACUGUUGCACUGUCUGUCUUGUUCAGAGACAAGGCCUUGUCCCUCUGUCCAGGCUGGAGUGCAGGGGCUGUACAGGAUGUGACCUCACAGAUGACAAGGUCAGUUUGGUCCAGUUUGGUCCUGGCUGGAGACAGCCAGGUUGAGAUGCUGUCUCAGGAACCAGCUGUGCCAGUCUGGAUCCAGAGGAAGGUGUGACCUGGAGCCAGGAGUGCUCAAGCUGCCUGAGAUGCAGAUCUCCACCCUUCUUGGAGGAGGCCAGGAGCAGGCAGGGUGCUUGCUACCUGGGCGCACACUGGAACUCAUUGAGCAGAUCGUGGGAGGGGUGAUCUGGGUGGCACCUUUAUCUUCCUAGGACAAUGACAACUGCUUCUUUGCACACUCUUGGCCCAGCCACCUACGAGAUUUCCACAGAGCACUUGGGAAAGAAGCCAUGGUCAGUAAACACAGGGCGGGGCAAGCAGCUGGGAGGGCAGCCAGGUGCCAGUGUCACGAAACCCAUUUACAUGCAAGUACAUUGGCAUGCACCUUCAACAGCUUCUUCACAGGCACAGCAUGAGACUAUAGCCUGGAGGGAACCAGAGGUAUUUGAUACAACUCGGACAAAAGCACCAAGAAGCCCAAUGUCAGCCCUGGUGGAGCCAGAAGAAACCCUCAGGAGCACGGAUCUUGUCUUUAUUUUACCAGUUUGGGGUCGUGCUUACUGUGGAUUUUUACCUGAAUUUUGGUUUUUAAACACGUUGCGUUGUUAUUUGUUCCUGACUUUUCUGGUGGCCUCUUCCUUUCUGGUUUACCCUGGCACACAGGGCUGUCUAGUGCCUGCCUCAGGUCAAAGUCUGGCCUUUGAAUUCACUGGGGCAACGAUCUUUCACAAGGGGCACCAUGGUUUUGCAUCUUCUCCAUGGUCAUCAGCUUUCCAUUGCUGUAGCAAACACCUAAGCACCUCAGCUUGUGAAGAGGAAAGGUGGAUUUUGGCUCAGUUUGGAGGUCCAGUCCAUGGUGACCACUGCUUUGGGACUGUGGUGAAGCAGAACAUCACGGCAGGAGCCCUGGUGGAGGAGAGCUGCUCAACUCAUGGCUGGGGACAUGAAAAAGAGAGGAAGGGUCUGAAGCCCCUCGUCCACUUCAAGAGCAUGUGUGCCCGAGUGGUCUAA
RNAcentral lists this long non-coding RNA (1151 nucleotides) under Chinchilla lanigera (long-tailed chinchilla). Its description in RNAcentral is "lncRNA (ENSCLAG00000027498.1)". The record is from RNAcentral. Lineage: Eukaryota; Metazoa; Chordata; Mammalia; Rodentia; Chinchillidae.